CUACGGGGCGCAGCAGUAGGGAAUAUUGCACAAUGGACGAAAGUCUGAUGCAGCAACGCCGCGUGUGCGAUGAAGGCCUUCGGGUUGUAAAGCACUUUUCUGAGGGAAGAGGAAGGACGGUACCUCAGGAAUAAGUCUCGGCUAACUACGUGCCAGCAGCCGCGGUAACACGUAGGAGGCAAGCGUUAUCCGGAUUUACUGGGCGUAAAGCGCGUGCAGGCGGGUCGGUAAGUUGGAUGUGAAAGCUCCUGGCUCAACUGGGAGAUGCCGUUCAAUACUGCCGGACUCGAGGACGGUAGAGGGAGGUGGAAUUCCCGGUGUAGUGGUGAAAUGCGUAGAUAUCGGGAGGAACACCAGUGGCGAAAGCGGCCUCCUAGGCCGUUCCUGACGCUAAGACGCGAAAGCAUGGGUAGCGAACGGGAUUAGAUACCCGGGUAGUC
Molecule: ribosomal RNA, 440 nt
Filed under: uncultured bacterium
Lineage: Bacteria
Description: partial 16S ribosomal RNA
Rfam family: Bacterial small subunit ribosomal RNA
Source: RNAcentral